This 114-nucleotide ribosomal RNA is filed under the name Gammaproteobacteria bacterium RIFCSPHIGHO2_12_FULL_42_10. The record is from RNAcentral. Lineage: Bacteria; Pseudomonadati; Pseudomonadota; Gammaproteobacteria.
CCUGGCGAACAUAGCAAAUGGGUACCACCUGAUCCCAUCUCGAACUCAGAAGUGAAACUGUUUUGCGCCAAUGAUAGUGUGGAGUAUUCCAUGCCAAAGUAGGUAACGCCAGGC